UUCAAACUUAUCAAUUGGUGCGUCGUGACUGUGAUCGAAGCAAUCGCAGAAGAUUGAAGAUGGUGGUGGCGAUCGGAUCGAUUAUCACCGGUUCGGGAAUUAUCGGAGGCGGAGCAACAAGAAGCUUCAUUAGCAGACGUAUACGAUCAACUUAGUGAGUUGCGAAACUCCGAAACUAAGAUGGAUUCAAGAAUUCAAUCGUUGGGUUCCCAGAUGAGUUCAAAGAUUGAGGAUUUGGGCAUCGACUUGAAGGAAAUCAAGUUCAACCAAGUCUAUUGCGGAGGUGCAUGGAGCAGUUCUUGGUUUGGUAGCUUCAGUUUUGUCUGUUCCUUAUGACAUGCCCAGGUAACAUCUCUAUGUCAGAAGUGUGUGGCGCAGAGCUUAAGCUUGAACUUGAACUUGAACGUCUUUAACUAAUCUUAAGCUUUUGUAAAUGUUUGAUGCUGGUUGCCGGAUCAUGUGACAUUUACUGGCUCGUUUCGCGGGUGAACCUACACCUAUAAAAUCGACUGUGACAAAAGCAGUGGCUGAGUUCCGACGAACACAUGCGGACACAUGGAACAUCCAGAAAGACUCUUUCACCGAAGAUCAGCUUGAGAUAUUGGCCGAUACAUCUUCCUCUUCUUCGUACUUUGCUUGAUUUGUGUCGGGGAAUAGAGUGAGUUUCGUCACAAAGACAGUAAUACUACUCUUGUUUAAGGAA
Long non-coding RNA from Camelina sativa (false flax), 703 nucleotides. RefSeq lists it as uncharacterized. The record is from RefSeq and is a predicted model, not a curated record. Lineage: Eukaryota; Viridiplantae; Streptophyta; Magnoliopsida; Brassicales; Brassicaceae.